RNAcentral lists this non-coding RNA (30 nucleotides) under Mus musculus (house mouse). The record is from RNAcentral. Lineage: Eukaryota; Metazoa; Chordata; Mammalia; Rodentia; Muridae.
UCUAAAGUGUUCUGGUCAGGUGACAUUUUA